GUAGGUGAACCUGCGGAAGGAUCAUUAAAAAGUUUGGCUUCGGCCGACUGCCAAAGCGCGAGCCGCCAGGAACUCCCGUCGCGCUCUUCCGGCCCACCCGGCGAAUCGCGGGUGUGAUCUGUAAACCGGAGCCAGCGUACAACCCCGUACAAUUGCAUCCGAGACAAUUGAAGAGACGGGAGGGAAUGGCCGGCCGGGCCCACGCGUCAACCCUCCGUGAAACGUCCCCUUUGCUUGGGCAGCGCACCAG
RNAcentral lists this unclassified non-coding RNA (250 nucleotides) under plant metagenome. RNAcentral describes it as "partial contains small subunit ribosomal RNA, internal transcribed spacer 1, and 5.8S ribosomal RNA". The record is from RNAcentral.